This is a non-coding RNA of Cordylochernes scorpioides, 73 nucleotides long. The record is from the annotation of a GenBank genome assembly. Lineage: Eukaryota; Metazoa; Arthropoda; Arachnida; Pseudoscorpiones; Chernetidae.
UCCUCGGUAGUAUAGUGAUUAGUAUUCCCGCCCUGUCACUAGGGUGACCGGGGUUCGAUUCCCCACCGGGGGG